RNAcentral lists this ribosomal RNA (253 nucleotides) under uncultured bacterium. RNAcentral describes it as "partial 16S ribosomal RNA". It matches the Rfam family "Bacterial small subunit ribosomal RNA", at positions 524 to 776 of the family's 1533-position model. The record is from RNAcentral.
UACGGAGGGUGCAAGCGUUGCUCGGAAUUAUUGGGCGUAAAGCGAGAGUAGGUGGUCCUGUUUGUCCCGGGUGAAAGCCCAAGGCUCAACCUUGGAAGUGCCCUGGAAACGGCAGGACUAGAGUCCUAGAGAGGAUUGCGGAAUUCCCGGUGUAGCGGUGAAAUGCGUAGAGAUCGGGAGGAACACCUGAGGCGAAAGCGGCGAUCUGGAUAGGUACUGACACUCAAUCUCGAAAGCGUGGGGAUCAAACAGG